GACGUAGGGGGCCAGCGUUGUUCGGAAUUACUGGGUGUAAAGGGUUCGUAGGCGGUGUAGCAAGUCGGGAGUGAAAUCUCUGGGCUUAACCCAGAGGCUGCUUCCGAAACUGCUGUGCUUGAGUGUGGGAGAGGCGCGUGGAAUUGCAGGUGUAGCGGUGAAAUGCGUAGAUAUCCGGAGGAACACCAGUGGCGAAAGCGGCCACCUGGACUGCACCUGACGCUGACACGCGAAAGCUAGGGGAGCGAACGGG
This 253-nucleotide ribosomal RNA is filed under the name uncultured bacterium. RNAcentral describes it as "partial 16S ribosomal RNA". It matches the Rfam family "Bacterial small subunit ribosomal RNA", at positions 524 to 776 of the family's 1533-position model. The record is from RNAcentral.